Molecule: ribosomal RNA, 507 nt
Filed under: Triticum aestivum (bread wheat)
Lineage: Eukaryota; Viridiplantae; Streptophyta; Magnoliopsida; Poales; Poaceae
Description: partial small subunit ribosomal RNA
Source: RNAcentral
AUGUUCCGUGGCAGCCUGCAUUGGCACCUAAAGCAACAUGGGACUGAAAGCAACAUGAUAGUGGUAUUUGACACCACAACUGAGUCGUUCAAGCAAAUGCAUGCUCCAGUGGUUUUUCGGCAUGCUAAACUGUUUGAGAUGGAUGGCGUGCUCGGCGUGUCCAGUCGUAAUGAUGUUGGUAGUAUCAUCAAUAUCUGGGAGUUGCAGGACUAUGAAAGCCAAGUCUGGACCUUCAAGUGCAAGAUUGAAUUACCGGUUAAUGAGAUCAAGGUGCUAUGUCGACAAAUCGACAAUUAUUGGUAUGCGGUGGUCAUGCCUGGGGAUGGUGAGUUGCUCGUGCUAGUCCAGUACGCCGAGUGGCUACUUCAUCUUGACAUGGAUGGCAAGUUGGUUGCUAGCUUUCAUCAACGGGAUGUCACUGCUACUCAAUUGCAGCUCAAACAAACUCUUGUCCCACAUACUUUCUUUCCAGAUGGUUAUGCUGUGAAUGCAGUGCCUCAGAUCUGA